UGAUAAAUUUCACAAGUACAUAAAAGUUCCUCGUGAAUGAACUCCUGCUGGAACCAAGCCGCCCUCGAGGUUGUUGAAGAGGCAUGCACUGAACUCCUUAUAAAUAUUCUGUGCAAAUACCUAUACGACCUAUCUGAAAUGUUCACAAGGUGGUAGGAUCAAAGUAGGAGCUGAGCCGUGUGCUGCUCUGUGAAGCGACCGUGAUCGUCAUGCGACAGAUGUUCCAACUGUUGGGGAUCACACCGGUUUACAAGCUGUGGUUGACCAUUGUUUGAUCCUUACAUCAUACAUCCUCCCAAACUACUCGUCAUGAAACACAUGACGCCAGUCUGGACGCCACCGCUUCGUCCAUGCCAGGCACGAUUCAAGUGGCACUGCUAUCUCCCUUCUUUGGACUCAACCUUACAGUAAGAUGAGAGAUUGAUUCCCCGCAUCCAUGUGUAUGAACACCUAUAACUUGACUGACAAAUUGUCUCAUCGGAUUGUAGAUUGAAAUUUGUUACGCAAUGGGUUUUGAUUCAGGAAAGAUUAGUUAGAAAUCAGCACUGGCACCUUCAAGAUGUAUGCAAGUAGUUUGCAUGGUUGAUCCAAGUCGUUGAGUGCUGCAAGUAGUGCUUAAUAACCUUUUCCAUUCUAAAAAACUACUGCCUUUUCUAAGCAUUAGAUUUAGUCUGUUUAUGUAAUUUUUAUGGUGACUUGAUAAUGACGUUAGAAAUAUAUUGAAGGAGUGUCUAGGAGGAAC
Molecule: long non-coding RNA, 742 nt
Organism: Lolium rigidum
Lineage: Eukaryota; Viridiplantae; Streptophyta; Magnoliopsida; Poales; Poaceae
Exons: 4
Source: RefSeq, a predicted model, not a curated record